ACUUUUAGUGGGGAACAGCUCUAAGGAGAAGAUUACAACUCCCAGUGGUUGGCCAGGGGAAAGAGCCAGCUUCUCAAACACAGGAAAUGAAUGAGAAAAACAAAGACAGCCUGGCAGAAAGUGGUUGUGUACGAUGUAUCAAGAUGGACCUUGGGAAACAUGGAAGGGGUACCCUCAGGAUGCCUGAGAAAAGUCUUCAAGAUGACACAUCGCAAGCCUCGUGCUGGAAAUUUGCAGCGAGAACCAGAUACAAACCUCCAUGGAUACAACAGCAGUUUACGUAUUAUCUUUGGCACGAACUUCUGCCUUCUUGUGAGCGUGAACGAAAAAAGGUGCAGUCCAGCGUUUCUGUUAGGGUUCACUGAUUGGAAAGUUGGCAAUGUUAAAAUGUGUAUUUAUCAAAAUCAUGGAUUCCUUGAGGCUGGACGUAAUUUUUCCUCUCCUCUUUCUUCUGCUAAACGAGGGAGAAGGUGGGACGAGAAGGCAGAGCAAAGCAAGAGAAGCACGCACAUUUUCUUAAAUCCAGAGAUGGAAAUGGAGCCCUUCUUACUGAGCCUUCUCCAGAUGAAUGCCACCAGACAUUCCUGGAGGCAUUGCCCUGGCUUUCUUCCCUGAGUCCCUCGGCUGAACUUCUAACUCACUCCAAGGGUGUGUUGGGUCCUACCUACUUUCUUGAAAGGGGCUUGUUUUGAACGCAUAUAGCUUUCAGCCCUGCAGUUCUAUUCCUAGGAACUUACCCUAUAGUUUUAUUAGCACACAUGGAGAAUUAUAUAUAUUAUAUAUACAGUAAGACUCCUAGAGGGUGUGGAGAAAAGGGAACCCUCCUACACUGUUGGUGGGAAUGCAAACUAGUACAACCACUAUGGAAAACCGUGGAGAUUCCUUAAAAAAUUGCAAAUAGAACUGCCUUAUGACCCAGCAAUCCCACUGCUGGGCAUACACACCGAGGAAACCAGAAUUGAAAGAGACACGUGUACCCCAAUGUUCAUCGCAGCACUGUUUAUAAUAGCCAGGACAUGGAAACAACCUAGAUGUCCAUCAGCAGAUGAAUGGAUAAGAAAGCUGUGGUAUAUAUACACAAUGGAGUAUUACUCAGCCAUUAAAAAGAAUACAUUUGAAUCAGUUCUGAUGAGAUGGAUGAAACUGGAGCCGAUUAUACAGAGUGAAGUAAGCCAGAAAGAAAAACACCAAUACAGUAUACUAACACAUAUAUAUGGAAUUUAGAAAGAUGGCAAUGAUGACCCUGUAUGCAAGACAGCAAAAAGACACAGAUGUGUAUAGCGGACUUUUGGACUCUGAGGGAGAGGGAGAGGGUGGGAUGAUUUGGGAGAAUGGCAUUGAAACAUGUAUACUAUCAUGUAAGAAUCGAAUCACCAGUCUAUGUCCGAUGCAGGAUACAGUAUGCUUGGGGCUGGUGCACGGGGAUGACCCAGAGGGAUGUUGUAGGGAGGGAGGUGGGAGGGGGGUUCAUGUUUGGGAUCGCAUGUACACCCGUGGUGGAUUCAUGUCAAUGUAUGGCAAAACCAAUACAGUAUUGUAAAGUAAAAUAAAGUAAAAAUAAAAAUUUUAAAAAAUAAUAAAUAAAUACAAAACAAAACAAAACAAAAAAAGACUCCUACAUACGAACAAGUUCUGUUCCAAGAGUGCUUUCAUAAGUCCAACUUGUUCAUAAGUCCAGCAAAGUUAGUCUAGGUACCCAGCUAACACAAUCAGGUAUUAGGUUUAUAAUACUGUAACAGUUUUAAUACUGUACUGUAAUAGGUUUAUAAUAGUUUUCACACAAGAGAUACAUAUAAAACAAACACACAAAGAGAUUUUUAACCUUAUAGUACAGUACAGUAGGACAGUACAAUGACUGGCAUCCAGGGGCUGGCAUCGAGGGAAGAGGAGAGAAGAGUCACUGACUGGAGGAGAGAGAGGAGGUGGGAGAUGGUAGAGCUGAAGGAUCGCCACCAGCGAUAGGAGACGGAGGGCAAGCUGCAAUUUCACUCACGCCUGAUGUUGAUAGAACGGAUGUUUGCGUCUUUGAAAGUUCGAAACUUGACAGUUCAUAUGUAGGGUACAUAAAUACACACAUAAACAUAUAUAUGGUUAUUCACCAUAGGAACAAACACUGGAAACCAUCUAAAUGUCCACCAGCAGGGGAAUGGUCAAAUAAACUCAUCACACAUCCAUGUAACAGUGCGGUGAAACUAAAAAAGUAAAAUAAAAUGCAGAAGCCCAUGAUGCAAUCUCCAAACUAUAUUAAUUUUUAAAAAAGCAAGUGCAGAACAUUGUAUGUAGUAUGUUGCCAUUUGUGUAUAAAAGGGAGAAAGAAUACGUAUGUAUUUGUUAAUAUAUGUACAGAAUACCUCUGAAGGAUGGACAAUAUACUCAUAGCAUUGAUGCAUGGGGGAGAAGAACUGGAUUGCGAGAGGGAGGUCUUUUUCAAUGUGCAUUCUCAUAGUUUGGGAAUUUGGUGCCAUGGGAAUCCACUUAAUCAUAAAUAAAUAAGUGCAUGUUUCCAAAAAAAGUAAUAGCUUAAAUCAUUUUUAGAGGGGGCUUAUUAUGGAAAUCUCCACUCUGAAUGGACUACUAUAUACUUGGAUACUUGAAGCCAGCGGCUUGGUUGGGACCCCGCCUCUUGGAUUUCCAUCUCCCAGCAGAGGCUGGCAGAGGGCCACGGAAAUAAACACUCCUCGAAAUUGUUCUGACAUCUUGGAAUUUGGUUUUAUCAAAUACAAGCAGCGGUAAUUGAGCCACUGCCUGAGCGGCUCUUCCCUUUUCUCUAAUCAUGUUUGUUGAAAUGAAUUUGAAGCUGCACAUCCCUGC
Molecule: long non-coding RNA, 2811 nt
Filed under: Capra hircus (goat)
Lineage: Eukaryota; Metazoa; Chordata; Mammalia; Artiodactyla; Bovidae
Description: lncRNA (ENSCHIG00000004657.1)
Source: RNAcentral